This is a non-coding RNA of Carica papaya (papaya), 1794 nucleotides long. The record is from RefSeq and is a predicted model, not a curated record. NCBI's taxonomy places the organism in Eukaryota, Viridiplantae, Streptophyta, Magnoliopsida, Brassicales, Caricaceae.
AAAUUUAAUAGAGAAUGUUGCUCUAGAUUAAGGUGAUAAAGUAAAACAAAUUACAAAUGCAUUUGGGUGCAAGUGCACUUGGUAUGAAGGCCUUGGGUGAGUCAUUUUGGGUUUCAUCAAAAGAUGACGAUUGUAAACUGUGUGGACUAGUUUGAAAUUUUUGGGUGUGCAGAACCACCUUUUCAUUCUUCUAUUCGUAAGAUGUCCUUGCAGAGAAAUUUUAAUCAGAAACUUUCAGAAACAUGAAAAAAAACACUUGAAACGUCGUGUGAUCAUAUUUUACUGCUCUCCUUCUUGGGCAUGGAGUUUGCUUGACACUAACCAUCUGUUUUCUUAUGAACAAAACAAAAAAAAAAUCAUCUAUGUUUUGUUUUAAGAAGUCUCAAAGCUUAAAUACUCUUGUAUUGGAAAGAUAAUAGUUUUAUGAUUUUAUAAGUGGAAGAGGAUUCCAUGUUUUAUAAUUCUGUAGUUUAGACUAACAAUAUACUUAACUUGUAUUUCCAGGUCUCGCUUUUACAUUUAGCUGAUAUCACUGAAAAGGGCGUAACAUUUCAGUCACCGGUAGAUGGAAAACCAAUGCUUCUAACACCAGAGGAGUCAAUCCAAAUCCAAAACAGAAUAGGAGCAGAUAUCAUUAUGGCACUUGAUGAUGUUGUCAAAACCACCAUUACUGGGCCACGAAUUGAGGAGGCUAUGUAUCGCACCCUUCGCUGGAUUGACAGAUGUAUAGCAGCUCACAAGAGGCCACAAGAUCAGAACUUAUUUGGCAUUGUACAGGGUGGUUUAGAUCCUGUCCUAAGGGAUAUAUGCGUUAGAGGCCUGGUUGACCGGAAUUUACCUGGGUAUGCUAUUGGUGGUCUUGCAGGAGGUGAAGAUAAAGAUUCAUUUUGGCGUGUUGUUGCUCAAUGCACUGCAGCAUUGCCUGAAGAUAAACCAAGAUAUGUCAUGGGUGUUGGCUAUCCAUUGGAUAUUGUAGUUUGCAGUGCUCUUGGUGCUGACAUGUAUGACUGUGUUUAUCCUACUCGAACUGCUCGAUUUGGCACUGCUUUGGUUCCCGAGGGAGUUCUGAAGCUCAAACACAAUGCAAUGGCUGAUGAUACUCGCCCAAUUGACCCUUCAUGUCCUUGUAUGGUCUGCAAGAACUAUACAAGAGCUUAUAUACAUUGUCUUGUCACAAAAGAUGCCAUGGGGUCUCAGCUUCUGUCAUAUCACAAUUUGUAUUACAUGAUGAAGCUUAGCAGGGAUCUGCAUUCCUCGAUAAUUGAAGGAAGGUUUCCAGAUUUCCAAAAGGUGACAUCCCAGAGUGGGUUUGCAAUGCAAUGGAGGUUGCUGGAAUUGAUAUUUCUUCUUGCUGUGCUCCAUUUUCACCAUCCCGUGAUUAGAUUUAACAUGUUGAGAGAAAGUAGGAGUAUUCGAUUUCUGACAUUGAAGAAUUUGGUCUAUAGGUGACAACACAUACCACAUGGCAUAAAUUUUGUAGCUCAUAUGCCCACUUAGGAAGAUUAUAGCCAGUUGACAAAAUCUUGCUGUCUUCUCCAGAAAUUUCUUCCCCCUUUAACUGAUAUACAUACUGCUAAACAUGAGUUAUAGGAGAAAGCUCCAUGAAGAUGAGGCAAAGUCAAAAGACAAGGUGGAAACAGAGUGAAAGGUAACCCAAAAUAGCUUGCCUGUGAUACUCUAUUUGUGGCCGUGAAGGGUAUGUGACAAAACCUACUAGUGCCUAAUAAGCACUGUUAAAUUCUUAAUCCCAAAGGUUUCGAGCUGUAAACCAACUGAUAGACAGACGCCUCUCCU